This 497-nucleotide ribosomal RNA is filed under the name uncultured bacterium. RNAcentral's name for it is "partial 16S ribosomal RNA". It matches the Rfam family "Bacterial small subunit ribosomal RNA", at positions 28 to 507 of the family's 1533-position model. The record is from RNAcentral.
GAUGAACGCUGGCGGCGUGCCUAAUACAUGCAAGUCGAGCGAACAGACGAGGAGCUUGCUCCUCUGACGUUAGCGGCGGACGGGUGAGUAACACGUGGAUAACCUACCUAUAAGACUGGUAUAACUUCGGGAAACCGGAGCUAAUACCGGAUAAUAUAUUGAACCGCAUGGUUCAAUAGUGGAAGACGGGUUUGCUGUCACUUAUAGAUGGAUCCGCGCCGCAUUAGCUAGUUGGUAAGGUAACGGCUUACCAAGGCAACGAUGCGUAGCCGACCUGAGAGGGUGAUCGGCCACACGGGAACUGAGACACGCUCCAGACUCCUACGUGAGGCAGCAGUAGGCAAUCUUACGCAACGGGGGAAAGCCUGACGGAGCAACGCCGCGUGAGUGAUGAAGGUCUUCGGAUCGUAAAACUCUGUUAUUAGGGAAGAACAAAUGUGUAAGUAACUAUGCACGUCUUGACGGUACCUAAUCAGAAAGUAACGGCUAACUACGUG